RNAcentral lists this ribosomal RNA (253 nucleotides) under uncultured bacterium. RNAcentral describes it as "partial 16S ribosomal RNA". It matches the Rfam family "Bacterial small subunit ribosomal RNA", at positions 524 to 776 of the family's 1533-position model. The record is from RNAcentral.
UACGGGGGGGGCAAGCGUUGUUCGGAAUUACUGGGCGUAAAGGGCUCGUAGGCGGCCAACUAAGUCAGGCGUGAAAUCCCUCGGCUUAACCGGGGAACUGCGUCUGAUACUGGAUGGCUUGAGUUUGGGAGAGGGAUGCGGAAUUCCAGGUGUAGCGGUGAAAUGCGUAGAUAUCUGGAGGAACACCGGUGGCGAAGGCGGCAUCCUGGACCAACACUGACGCUGAGGAGCGAAAGCCAGGGGAGCAAACGGG